AAACUAACAAGGAUUCCCCUAGUAACUGCGAGUGAAGCGGGAAAAGCUCAAAUUUAAAAUCUGGCGGUCUUUGGCCGUCCGAGUUGUAGUCUGGAGAAGUGCUUUCCGCGCUGGACCGUGUAUAAGUCUCUUGGAACAGAGCGUCAUAGAGGGUGAGAAUCCCGUCUUUGACACGGACUACCAGUGCUUUGUGAUGCGCUCUCAAAGAGUCGAGUUGUUUGGGAAUGCAGCUCAAAAUGGGUGGUGAAUUCCAUCUAAAGCUAAAUAUUGGCGAGAGACCGAUAGCGAACAAGUACCGUGAGGGAAAGAUGAAAAGCACUUUGGAAAGAGAGUUAAACAGUACGUGAAAUUGCUGAAAGGGAAACGCUUGAAGUCAGUCGCGUCGUCCGGAACUCAGCCUUGCUUUUGCUUGGUGCACUUUCCGGUUGACGGGCCAGCAUCGAUUUUGACCGUCGGAAAAGGGCUAGAGUAAUGUGGCACCUCCGGGUGUGUUAUAGACUCUAGUCGCAUACGGCGGUUGGGAUCGAGGAACGCAGCGCGCCGCAAGGCAGGGGUUCGCCCACUUUCGCGCUUAGGAUGCUGGCAUAAUGGCUUUAAACGACC
Molecule: ribosomal RNA, 603 nt
Filed under: Xanthoperenniporia maackiae
Lineage: Eukaryota; Fungi; Basidiomycota; Agaricomycetes; Polyporales; Polyporaceae
Description: LSU rRNA
Rfam family: Eukaryotic large subunit ribosomal RNA
Source: RNAcentral